GAUGAACGCUAGCUACAGGCUUAACACAUGCAAGUCGCGGGGCAGCAUGGGGGUUGCUUGCCAUCCCCGAUGGCGACCGGCGCACGGGUGAGUAACGCGUAUCCAACCUGCCCUUCACCACGGGAUAACCCGGCGAAAGUCGGACUAAUACCGUAUGUUGUCCAUUGACGGCAUCCGAUUUGGACGAAAGGCUUGGCGGUGAGGGGUGGGGAUGCGUCCGAUUCGCCAGACGGCGGGGUAACGGCCCACCGUGGCUACGAUCGGUAGGGGUUCUGAGAGGAAGGUCCCCCACACUGGAACUGAGACACGGUCCAGACUCCUACGGGAGGCAGCAGUGAGGAAUAUUGGUCAAUGGGCGUAAGCCUGAACCAGCCAAGUAGCGUGCAGGAUGACGGCCCUAUGGGUUGUAAACUGCUUUUAUGCGGGGAUAAAGUGGCCCACGUGUGGGCUUUUGCAGGUACCGCAUGAAUAAGGACCGGCUAAUUCCGUG
Molecule: ribosomal RNA, 490 nt
Filed under: uncultured bacterium
Lineage: Bacteria
Description: partial 16S ribosomal RNA
Rfam family: Bacterial small subunit ribosomal RNA
Source: RNAcentral